UGGAAGAGCUUUGACUGGUC
Molecule: unclassified non-coding RNA, 20 nt
Filed under: Chlamydomonas reinhardtii
Lineage: Eukaryota; Viridiplantae; Chlorophyta; Chlorophyceae; Chlamydomonadales; Chlamydomonadaceae
Description: small RNA Cre_3216
Source: RNAcentral